UAGUCCACGCCGUAAACGAUGUCUGCUAGCCGUCGGGGUACUUGGUACUUCGGUGGCGCCGCUAACGCAUUAAGCAGACCGCCUGGGGAGUACGGUCGCAAGAUUAAAACUUAAAGGAAUUGACGGGGGCCCGCACAAGCAGUGGAGCAUGUGGUUUAAUUCGAAGCAACGCGCAGAACCUUACCAGCCCUUGACAUCCCGUGCUACAUCCAGAGAUGGAUGGUUCCCUUCGGGGACGCGGUGACAGGUGCUGCAUGGCUGUCGUCAGCUCGUGUCGUGAGAUGUUGGGUUAAGUCCCGCAACGAGCGCAACCCUUGUCUUUAGUUGCCAUCAUUUAGUUGGGCACUCUAGAGAAACUGCCGGUGACAAACCGGAGGAAGGUAAGGAUGACGUCAAGUCAGCAUGCCCCAUACGCUCUGGGCUACACACGUGCUACAAUGGUCGUGACAAAGAGUUGCUAGUCUGCGAAGGCAAGCCAAUCUCAUAAACGCGGCCUUAGUUCGG
RNAcentral lists this ribosomal RNA (504 nucleotides) under uncultured bacterium. RNAcentral describes it as "bacterial SSU rRNA". It matches the Rfam family "Bacterial small subunit ribosomal RNA", at positions 791 to 1296 of the family's 1533-position model. The record is from RNAcentral.